Long non-coding RNA from Hydra vulgaris (swiftwater hydra), 1374 nucleotides. RefSeq lists it as uncharacterized. The record is from RefSeq and is a predicted model, not a curated record. NCBI's taxonomy places the organism in Eukaryota, Metazoa, Cnidaria, Hydrozoa, Anthoathecata, Hydridae.
CUUAAUACUAAUAAUUCAACGGAUUAAAUAUUCUAAUCGGUCAAAAAAAAAUUUUCAGUAUAUUAUAGCUUUUUAUUUUGAAAAUGAUAAAGUUUUGAAUGCGUUUUUUUCACAUUUACAUUUACAUCGUAGAUAAAAGUUGGUUGCAGUAAGUGUAAUAUGCCAGUUUUUAAAAAGCUUUACAUUUAGUAGACAAAGUAAAUGGAUAAAUAUAAUUUAAAUUACGCUCUGUUAUUUGUAAUUUCGAAGGUUAUUUAGAUUAUUUUAAAUUUUCUAUAUAAAGCUUUAUAUAGAAAAUUUAACCAUAAGGUUUAUUUUGUUUUAAAUUAAAAGCCAUUAGUAUUACUAAAUAAUAUAUAAUAACAUAUAUGGUAAGUUAAUACAUAUCAUAUAUGGUAAGUUACUACAUGUCUAAAUCUAGAAAAUUAUGCAAGAAUAUAUGCAAUCCAUAUAGUCUAUAUUAUAGAAAUAAAAGUUCAACUAAUCCUUUACUAGUAGUAAAGGGUUAGUUAUUUACAAUUAUUUCUAUAAUAUAGACUAAAUGGAUUAUUUAUACUCUUUUUUAACUUUAUAUUUUAAACAUAUGACAUGUAGUAACAUACCAUAUUAGUUUAAAUCAGUUGUAAAAUUUAAAAUGUUAACAUCUUUGAUAGGUAUAUUUAUUUAGGUUAGUUACAGCUAAGUUUACAUGGCUAGUUAAUAUGCUUUUUUAAAUUGCAAUUUUUAUUAAUUUCCAAAUUAAACAUGUGGCAUCCAAUAUCAUAAACUAAGUUUAUACUGGUGUGUUUAUAUUAUUUCAAAAUUUUUUGUUUUAGACACAUGGCAUUUGCUAUCCCACUGUAAGUUAAAACUAGUUGUAAAAUUAAAAAAUUUAUAUUGGAACUUCUAUUUCGUUUAACAUUCAUGUUUAUUUAAUUGAGUUACACCUAAGGUUAUAUAUGAGUUAUUUAUACUAUCUUAGAAUUUGCUGCUUUAGAGGCACGGCAUUUAGUGUCACAUUGUAGAAUUUACUGUUUUAGACACAUAGCAUGUGGUAUCCCACUAAUUAGCUAUUUUAAACAUGUGACAAGUGGUAUGACACUGUAUUGAUGUAUGUGAAAUGUAUAGAAUCUUUCAGUUAUCAGAUAAUGUCAAGGAGUUCACAGCAUGGUGUCCGAUUUAAAGUGCGAACCUGUGUACGAGUAAUAACAGUAUUCAAAACCAAAACCUAUUUAAAUCAACCAAACCAAAACUAGCGACCAAAAACUAAUAUCUUUGCAUUAGUUUAUUUUAAACAUCUAUUAUAUAUGUGUGUGUUUUAUAUAAAUGUACUAGCUUAAGUAUAGUGUAUUAAAAAUAUUUUUUUAAACUAUUUUUAUUGUAAUUUAAAGUAUA